This 496-nucleotide ribosomal RNA is filed under the name uncultured bacterium. RNAcentral's name for it is "partial 16S ribosomal RNA". It matches the Rfam family "Bacterial small subunit ribosomal RNA", at positions 28 to 506 of the family's 1533-position model. The record is from RNAcentral.
GAUGAACGCUGGCGGCGUGCCUAAUACAUGCAAGUCGAGCGAACAGACGAGGAGCUUGCUCCUCUGACGUUAGCGGCGGACGGGUGAGUAACACGUGGAUAACCUACCUAUAAGACUGGGAUAACUUCGGGAAACCGGAGCUAAUACCGGAUAAUAUAUUGAACCGCAUGGUUCAAUAGUGAAAGACGGUUUUGCUGUCACUUAUAGAUGGAUCCGCGCCGCAUUAGCUAGUUGGUAAGGUAACGGCUUACCAAGGCAACGAUGCGUAGCCGACCUAAGAGGGUGAUCGGCCACACUGGAACUGAGACACGGUCCAGACUCCUACGGGAGGCAGCAGUAGGGAAUCUUCCGCAAUGGGCGAAAGCCUGACGGAGCAACGCCGCGUGAGUGAUGAAGGUCUUCGGAUCGUAAAACUCUGUUAUUAGGGAAGAACAAAUGUGUAAGUAACUAUGCACGUCUGGACGGUACCUAAUCAGAAAGCCACGGCUAACUACGU